RNAcentral lists this long non-coding RNA (2216 nucleotides) under Mus musculus (house mouse). Its description in RNAcentral is "predicted gene, 49620". Lineage: Eukaryota; Metazoa; Chordata; Mammalia; Rodentia; Muridae. The record is from RNAcentral.
GGUUCACAAACCCCGGCCCUUCGCGCCUUAAUUAAAAAAAAAAAAAAAAAAAAAAAACAAAACGGAAAAAACCGGUGCGCCAGGUGGCGUGAAGUCGCACCAGGCGGGAGCACGGAGGUGCUCACGCUUCGCGCUUGAGUUUGGAGCUCAAGUUUGGAGUUUGCUUUGAGUUUGGAGCUGGGUUCUGCGCUUGCAGGAUUUUCUGGGUCCUGCAGUAGUACGGUGCACGUGUACGGAGCACGUUUGCCGGUGGUGCGGGUACCCAAUGCCCAGACCUGCAGCCCUUGUCGGGAGUUCGGUGGGGCACUGUGCCUUUAGCCGCUCCGGGCAAGUAAGGGCUGCGGAGCCACCCUGCUACGGCGGACCCACUCUGGCGCCGCUUCGCAGACCUCCGAGGAAUGAGCCCUGCACUCUGCAGAUACAUAGGGUUUAACGCUUCUCCCACGCCCCAGAUUCCCGACCCUCAAUUAUGGACUCCCGAGAAUUCCUCCCCGGCUUGAAAGGGAUUACCCAGAUCAUAGAAACAUGGCUAAGUGGAGGUGAGAGAAACCCGGCAAGCAACAAGAAUUGAAACUUCUCAACGAAUUUCCCAGUUUGUAACAGGAAAGCGCAUCUGAACUCUUGCGACUGGAUUUUCGCAGUGGAGGCCGUUUUGACUUUAGGGAGGAGAUGGCAAACGCUAUUGAAGUGGGUAUGGGGUAGCUCCAGGCCCAGCAGACAGGCUCCACAUAAGUCCUUCUCCAAACAUCAAACAUUGGUUAACACCACACUUCCCCAGAACUAGGGUCCCCAGCGCCACCGUCUAAAGUCCAAGUCUCUGGGCGGGUAUCUCAGUACUAGAGGAUUUGCAGCUAGGAAGGAGUUUAAGUCUAUGUGGAAUAAUGAAGAUGGGUCCCUGUAGUCGGGAGUUGGAGCAUGGGGUUUUCAGGGCAAGGCUCCAGACAUCCAGUCUAUUAUUGCGAGACAGAAUUAAUUCAGCAGCUCCGUUUGACAUGGAAAAGAGGAGAGAGAGAGAGAGAGAGAGAGAGAGACAGAGAGAGAGAGAGAGACAGAGAGAGAGAGAGACAGAGACAGAGAGAGACAGAGAGAGACAGAGAGAGACAGAGAGAGACAGAGAAGGAAGAGGAGGAGGAGGAGGAGGAGGAGAAUAUGUUGUAUGCAUGGGUAUAUGUAGGUCACGAGGAAUCCUUAUUUCAGCAAGACCAUGGGCACGUGAGGCCCAGCCUGCCCGUCUGUCUCCAUUCCAUUUCUCAGUGCUGACAUUAUAGAACCCCUGAUCCCUCUUCCCUCUUUACAUGGGUUCUGGGGAUUCAAACCCAGAUCCUCAUGUUGUGUAGUUGGUAUUUUACUUACUGAGGCACCGUGCCAGACCCUGAACAAGUUUUAAUUGGCGCUGACCAUAGUUUAGUACAUCUAUUACUUGUCUCUGACUCCAGGACUGGAGAAAGGGUCUGCUCACUGAAGCUAAAGCUAAGCAGCAAACAUCAGCACCAGCCUUGGGCCCUGGGAAAGAGGCAGAGCUGAAGAGACCCUAGGAUCUCGGGUACCACUUAUAAAUUACUGGCUGGUAGGAGCCUGCAGAGGGAAGGUGUGAAGAAGUGACCCACUGAUCCUGCUGGCUGGGCACCCAGCUCUCAAUCUGCACCAGAAGCCCAGCCCACCAGCCCCACCUCUUAGAAAUUUUCCAUUAGGAAAACUAAUCUGGAUGAAAUUUGGGCCCCAAGAAGAAAGGGGGUGGGGCCAGGCUGCCCCACAUCUGUUUGAAUUUUCCGCUUCAGAUGUUUGGGUCUGUUCUUGCCAAGCUGCUCACCCUGUGCCUACCUGAGCCCAUCCCCAGCAGAAACCAACUUUCCGGUAGAUCAAGGCCCCCACAGAUGUUUCUCCCAGGAUAGGCUCCGAGAAAGCUGGUGCUAUAAAAGCAGAUCAGAGAUCAGAGAUCUAGCCACCACCAAGGUGUGUGUGAAGGGGGAGAGCCCUCCAGUUCCUGGCUGUCUCCAGCCUCUAAGUGAAAUUUAAGAGCUUCAACCUCCUGAGCUAUGGGAGGAAACAGAAAAUCUUGAAUCCUUGGAGAUUGGAAACAUUCAUUUCUACGCCAUUAUCUGCACAGGCAAUCGGUGGGAUGUGCGCUGUGCGCUUACUUCAGCAAGCCUUAUUCCCACCCAGCUUCACAGAUCCAACUGUCUCUAACUGGAAGUCUUUUCUGGUAUGAACUGCCC